RNAcentral lists this long non-coding RNA (2140 nucleotides) under Capsicum annuum. RNAcentral's name for it is "long non-coding RNA (CANN_LNC018177)". Lineage: Eukaryota; Viridiplantae; Streptophyta; Magnoliopsida; Solanales; Solanaceae. The record is from RNAcentral.
GAUAAAAACGAUAAAAUUCAUGCCCAUGGAGUUUAAGGAUAGUUCACGUACCUUAUAUUGUUUAGUUUGAAGAUUUGAAACCCUUGUCUUGACUCUUUUCUUGAAAUCUUGACCUAGAGGUUCAAUUGUUGAAUUUUGGAGGAGAGUUAGGGCUAAGUUCUGGAGAGGAAUUGAGUGAUUAUGGGCAUAUAAUGCCCUAAUGACGAUAUAAUCAGUUGUUUUCACGAUUUGGGAUUAUGGGGAAAGGUCGAACCUGCCCUUCGGAAUUAAAAUUCGCAACUAAAUCCCUCUUUGGAGGACCACCGCAUUGCGAUGAAUGUUUCAUCGUUAUAGUCACCGCGACGCGGUGCAAUCACGGUGACAUUCUGUUUUCAAAUUCCAAACACGCCUCAAACCCGGUCCGAAAAAUUCAAAACUCACCCGAGACAUCCCCUUUACAAACCUGAACAUGAAUUAACUCUAAAAUCUAUGUCUCGAGAUCGAGAAGAUCAAUUUAAAUAUCAUUGGAGUUUAGGAGCUAAAAAUAUGGCUAAGUCGUUAAAUACUUAGAAAAAUUUCAGGUUAUUAGCUCUCUAUGCAUGCUAGUAAGAGUGGUAUCAAGUCGAGAAUGCUACAGGGUGUUACACUAAAAGAUCGUGUAUUUAUUAGUCUCUAACUCUGCAUCAACAGCCUUGUCUCCAUUUUUUCUCUUUGCUUUCUUUCGGUGAACAAGUUGCAAAUUUAUAAGGGUUUUGACGGUUGUCUUGGAUAGUUUUGCCGCCGUGGAAAAUGAUUGCCAACAAUCAAUGGCAGAGAUAUUAUUUUCACUAGGGAGUUCAAUAUAUGAAGGAAGAAACACACGAAAAAGUGAGAGAGGGUUCAAUAUCUACUAUAUAUACAUAAAUAAUAAUUUUAACCAUGUAUAAACGGUGCAAUUUUUUUAAUAUGUGAAAGCUAUUUUGCAAUUGAGGCUUUCCAAUCUUUGACCUAUUCGCCGCAACAGGAUUGGCAGUUAAACAAAGAAACCCAAAGAAUGAAGUUAUGAGAGAUUGAACCACUGACAAAAAGAGGAAGUAUGACAUAAAAGAAAAUAGUAGUAUGCAUGAUCGGUGAACCUCACUUACAUUAACUGAUUGCAAAUACAACCAAAUAUCAUACUUCAAGAGGGUAAAAACAUCGCUAAAGAUUGCACGAAAAAUGUCAGAAAUUGAAGAAAACCUCUAAAGAUUGCACACGAUCACCUCUUAUAUUGCUUAUAUAGAAAUUAGGAGAGAGGAGCGGGCACAAGGAAGUCUAACCUUAUUCCUUUUAUGUGGAAGCUAAUUUUAUAGUAAUUAGAGAGGUGCGACGAAUUUAAGUUCUCUCAUAUUAAAUAAGAACAAAAGAGAAGCUGUCAAUUUAAUCAUGAAAACAAGUAGCUACAUCAAUUAAAGACAAUAAAGACAACUGCAGGAAUUAAAGUUUUGACUCAAAAGCAAGUCAAGCAUAGAACAGGUCAUAGCUUCAAGCUAAAUCAUUCAAACGCGGGAUUAAUUUUUGGAAGACGAUGAGGCGAGUAAAGUCUUCACUGUGCUUGCUAAUUGUUACGUUUGCAACUGAAUCAGAAGAUUACAGUGGCUUUUUAAACACAAGGAGGCAAAAAAAAAAACAGAUGUACGGAGUCAUUUGGCGCAAACUUCUGGAAGCAUCACCAAUACCAAAUGAUGACUCCGUACAUCAAAAUUCAUUACCUCCUUGUGGUCAAAAAGUCAUGCGUAAUCUUCGUAUCCAGUGGCUAACAUAACGAUCAGAAACCAAAUAAAGUCUUUACUUGCCUCGUCAUCUACCAACAAUCAUUUUUUACGCAAUUCAUCCCUUGAACCUCGUCCACAUUUCUCCAUUGCUCACAACUCCAAGAGUAUAAACCUGCAAUUCAGACACUUUUGGACUUCCAAGAAAAUUUCUAACUACGAAUUUAAAUAUCAAUACUUCACAAGGGUUGAGAAUCAAUGUUCAAUGUCAUCCUAUUUAUUUGUCUAUGGAUGAUUCUAUAUUCUUCUAGAUGCAUCUACAAGAAAAAUCUAGAUAACUUUUACCUUAUAGCUAUCUAAGAAUAAUCUAGAGAUUUCUAAAUGGAUCUAUAAGAACAAUCUAGAUAAGUUUUACCUAAUGGCUAUGUAAG